This 435-nucleotide long non-coding RNA is filed under the name Anser brachyrhynchus (Pink-footed goose). RNAcentral describes it as "lncRNA (ENSABRG00000016084.1)". The record is from RNAcentral. Lineage: Eukaryota; Metazoa; Chordata; Aves; Anseriformes; Anatidae.
GGGGUUUUGGGGUCGCCCCCUGACACCCCCCCUCGUUCCAGGCCCAGCCCGGCCCCUCCAAGCCGCAGACGGAGCCCCCCCCCCCGCAGCCGCCGGCGGAGGAGCAGAGCAAAGAGGCGAAGAAGGAGAGCGGCGGCAGCAGCAGCAGCAGCAGCCGGAAGAAGCGGAGCCGGAGCCGGAGCCGGAGCCGCGACCACAGACACAGCCGCAGCCGGGACCGGGACCGGCGCCGCCGAUCCCGCAGCCGCGAGCGCCGGCGCGACGAGCGAUCCCGGUACCCGAUUUCCCCCUUUUUCGCCCCAAAAUGCCGGUUUUUUAACUACUCCCGUCCCUUUUUCACCGGUUUCUCCGCUUUCGGCCCCGUUUCAGCCGCCGCUUCGGGCACAGCAAGAGCCCGCUGUACCGGGAGAAGAGCCCCGUGCGGUGAGGGGGUCG